CUCGUGCCGUGAGGUGUCGGGUUAAGUCCCAUAACGAGCGCAACCCCUACUGCUAGUUGCCAGCGGGUCAUGCGGGGACUCUAGCGGAACUGCCAGCGUAAGCUGCGAGGAAGGUGGGGAGUGACGUCAAAUCAGCACGGCCCUUACGUCCAGGGCUACACACGUGUUACAAUGGCCAGUACAGAGGGCAGCCACCCCGCGAGGGGGCGCUAAUCCUAAAAGCUGGUCCCAGUUCGGAUCGGAGUCUGCAACCCGACUCCGUGAAGCUGGAUUCGCUAGUAAUCGCGCAUCAGCCACGGCGCGGUGAAUACGUUCCCGGGCCUU
Molecule: ribosomal RNA, 324 nt
Filed under: uncultured Rikenellaceae bacterium
Lineage: Bacteria; Pseudomonadati; Bacteroidota; Bacteroidia; Bacteroidales; Rikenellaceae
Description: bacterial SSU rRNA
Rfam family: Bacterial small subunit ribosomal RNA
Source: RNAcentral